RNAcentral lists this ribosomal RNA (459 nucleotides) under uncultured Methylibium sp. Its description in RNAcentral is "bacterial SSU rRNA". It matches the Rfam family "Bacterial small subunit ribosomal RNA", at positions 919 to 1382 of the family's 1533-position model. Lineage: Bacteria; Pseudomonadati; Pseudomonadota; Betaproteobacteria; Burkholderiales; Sphaerotilaceae. The record is from RNAcentral.
ACCCGCACAAGCGGUGGAUGAUGUGGAUUAAUUCGAUGCAACGCGAAAACCUUACCUACCCUUGACAUGUCCGGAAUCCUGCAGAGAUGCGGGAGUGCCCGAAAGGGAAUCGGAACACAGGUGCUGCAUGGCUGUCGUCAGCUCGUGUCGUGAGAUGUUGGGUUAAGUCCCGCAACGAGCGCAACCCUUAUCAUUAGUUGCUACGCAAGGGCACUCUAAUGAGACUGCCGGUGGCAAACCGGAGGAAGGUGGGGAUGACGUCAAGUCCUCAUGGCCCUUAUGGGCUGGGCUACACACGUGCUACAAUGGCCGGUACAGAGGGUUGCCAACCCGCGAGGGGGAGCCAAUCUCAGAAAACCGGUCGUAGUCCGGAUCGCAGUCUGCAACUCGACUGCGUGAAGUCGGAAUCGCUAGUAAUCGCGGAUCAGCACGCCCGCGGUCGAAUACGUUCCGGGCCUU